GGGCGCCAAUGCGGUUGACUGUAUGCAGGAUGCUUGCUCUUGGAACACAGCCACCACGUUGGGAGGAAGCCCAGGCCACGUGGAGAGGUCCCAAGUAGGUGUUUAACUGAGGUCCCUGGUGACAGCUGGCAUUGACACCCAUGUGGGAUUACCUUUGAUCCUGGACAGUAUAUGCUCCCUGCUGAUUCUCCUCUUCCCUGCCUUUGGCUGCAUCCAUCCCUCAGAGUGAAGCCCUACUGCCGAGCCUCCAGGAAGCUCGUUUCCCUCACACUUUCUUCCCCAGCAGGACAGUCUACAUCCUUCCCAAACCUGGAGCUCUUGGCAAGAACAGGCUGGGUCUUUGAUAUCUAUAACAUCAGGAUGAAACCUUUGCAGUUGCCCCAUGUUGCAAAUGCAUGCUGACUGCAGGUGUUCUAACUCAGAGAUGAAUAAAUAUUCGGC
Molecule: long non-coding RNA, 441 nt
Filed under: Equus asinus (donkey)
Lineage: Eukaryota; Metazoa; Chordata; Mammalia; Perissodactyla; Equidae
Description: lncRNA (ENSEASG00005027703.1)
Source: RNAcentral